GAUGAACGCUGGCGGCGUGCUUAACACAUGCAAGUCGAACGGGAAACCUUUUAUUGUAGCUUCGGCAGAUUUAGCUGGUUUCUAGUGGCGGCCGGGUGAGUAACUCGUGGUUAACCUGCCUUAUACAGGGGGAUAACAACCAGAUAUGGUUGCUAAUACCGCAUCAGCGCACACAACCGCAUGGUCCGGUGUGAAAAACUCCGGUGGUAUAAGCUGGACCCGCGUUGGAUUAGCUAGUUGUCAGGGUAACGGCCUACCAAGGCGACGAGCCAUAGACGGCAUGAGAGGGUGGACGGCGACAUUGGGACUGAGACACGGCCCAGACUCCUACGGGAGGCAGCAGUGGGGAAUAUUGCACAAUGGGGGAAACCAUGAUGCAGCGACGCCGCGUGAAGGAAGAAGUAUCUCAGUAUGUAAACUUCUAUCAGCAGGGAAGAUAGUGACGGUACCUGACUAAGAAGCCCCGGCUAACUACGUG
Molecule: ribosomal RNA, 478 nt
Filed under: uncultured bacterium
Lineage: Bacteria
Description: partial 16S ribosomal RNA
Rfam family: Bacterial small subunit ribosomal RNA
Source: RNAcentral